Long non-coding RNA from Salvia splendens (bonfire salvia), 150 nucleotides. RefSeq lists it as uncharacterized. Lineage: Eukaryota; Viridiplantae; Streptophyta; Magnoliopsida; Lamiales; Lamiaceae. The record is from RefSeq and is a predicted model, not a curated record. The transcript has 3 exons.
GCUCAUCUUACGCGCACCUUGGAUAUUCCGCUAGGAUUCUGGAGCGGUUCAUUCGAAUGCGGUGUGUGUAAAUUCCGCCAUAAUCAAGAGUUGCAUGGAUCAACUGGGCGGACAGGCGGAUCAAGAAUAAUGGAGUCAAAUUGCUGCGCU